CAGCAGUGGGGGAUAUUGCACAAUGGGGGAAACCCUGAUGCAGCGACGCCGCGUGGGUGAAGAAGCGCCUCGGCGCGUAAAGCCCUGUCAGCAGGGAAGAAAAUGACGGUACCUGAAGAAGAAGCCCCGGCUAACUACGUGCC
This 143-nucleotide ribosomal RNA is filed under the name uncultured bacterium. Its description in RNAcentral is "partial 16S ribosomal RNA". It matches the Rfam family "Bacterial small subunit ribosomal RNA", at positions 349 to 509 of the family's 1533-position model. The record is from RNAcentral.